This 632-nucleotide ribosomal RNA is filed under the name Bacillus sp. gx-124. RNAcentral's name for it is "bacterial SSU rRNA". It matches the Rfam family "Bacterial small subunit ribosomal RNA", at positions 33 to 650 of the family's 1533-position model. The record is from RNAcentral. Lineage: Bacteria; Bacillati; Bacillota; Bacilli; Caryophanales; Bacillaceae.
AUGAUGCGGGUGCUAUACAUGCAGUCGAGCGAAUGGAUUAAGAGCUUGCUCUUAUGAAGUUAGCGGCGGACGGGUGAGUAACACGUGGGUAACCUGCCCAUAAGACUGGGAUAACUCCGGGAAACCGGGGCUAAUACCGGAUAACAUUUUGAACCGCAUGGUUCGAAAUUGAAAGGCGGCUUCGGCUGUCACUUAUGGAUGGACCCGCGUCGCAUUAGCUAGUUGGUGAGGUAACGGCUCACCAAGGCAACGAUGCGUAGCCGACCUGAGAGGGUGAUCGGCCACACUGGGACUGAGACACGGCCCAGACUCCUACGGGAGGCAGCAGUAGGGAAUCUUCCGCAAUGGACGAAAGUCUGACGGAGCAACGCCGCGUGAGUGAUGAAGGCUUUCGGGUCGUAAAACUCUGUUGUUAGGGAAGAACAAGUGCUAGUUGAAUAAGCUGGCACCUUGACGGUACCUAACCAGAAAGCCACGGCUAACUACGUGCCAGCAGCCGCGGUAAUACGUAGGUGGCAAGCGUUAUCCGGAAUUAUUGGGCGUAAAGCGCGCGCAGGUGGUUUCUUAAGUCUGAUGUGAAAGCCCACGGCUCAACCGUGGAGGGUCAUUGGAAACUGGGAGACUUGAGUGCA